Molecule: ribosomal RNA, 363 nt
Filed under: Physarum daamsii
Lineage: Eukaryota; Evosea; Eumycetozoa; Physariida; Physaraceae
Description: partial small subunit ribosomal RNA
Rfam family: Eukaryotic small subunit ribosomal RNA
Source: RNAcentral
UCUGAAUCUGCGUACGGCUCCGCAAACCAGUUGUAAGCAAUAGCAAGGAUGCCCGUCGAACCCGAGGCUCGCGCCCCGGCAAGUAGGCGGGCAACAAGGAUACCCCUGGUAAUCCUGAGGCUAAUACUUGACCGUAACACCUGGCAGCCCUCGCGGCAGCUGGGGRCCGUGCGAUCAUUCAAAGCGGUGGGGAAACCAUCCGGGAAAGGACGCACAGUCAAACCGCGGCAAAAAAGGGUUUGGUGGAACCCCCGGGCCUUCGUGGUCCGGGGGAGAAGCCAUUCCUCGCGGGUCUUGCACUGCGCUUCUGACCUAUCAACUGUAUAGCAGUGUAAGGGACAUGCUAUGGUACAACGGUACAGA